GCAAUGAUCCCAGUUUUUGUGGAAAACAUGCAUCAUGUCAUAACACUGCUGGAGGUUUCUACUGCAUCUGUGAAGCUGGAUUCAGACUAAAGUCAGGAGGAAAUAUCUUCAAUGAUACAAGUGAACUCUGUGAGAAGCUUAAGUGUGACAGAUUUUUAAGUGAGAAAGACACAUCCCAGACAUCUCCAGAGCUCUCAAAACUCGUCUCUUUGAUGACCGACAGCUGUCUGAUAAUGAAUCAGAGGAUUUCUGAGUGAUCUAGAUGAUCUGAAUCACGGUGGAUUCAGUGGUGAUAAUUAUAUGAUCUCAGCAUUGUUUAGGAUUGUGGUAAACAUACUAAAACUGAUCGGACAUCUGCUGUCAGCAAGCCGAACCAGGAAAAUAAGUGCUAAAGCUGAAGUGGAGCUGUUAGUAAAGAGGGGCAAUUCUCCACCUGAGGGUGAUUUCAGGAUGAAUAUCAGUGGAGCACAGUUAACCUCCCACUGGGACACAGCAACAGGAAAUACAUACCACGGCUUCACGACUGCAGCUCUCCUCAGCUACAAAGGUCUGGAUGAAUCACUCAACUGCUGUUUUAACCAUUUAGAGACACAGAAAAAGCAAACUUAUAAGAUUAAUUCAAAAGUAGUAACUGCCACUUUUAUUAACGCUGAGACAACCAACCUAAAUAAAUCAAUAAAGCUCACGUUUUCUCACUUGAAGAAAAAGAAUGAGAAGCAUAUGUGUGUGUUUUGGGAUCCUGAGCUGGACGGGGGCGCGUGGUCAACACUUGGCUGCUCUACAGUGAGCUCCAGAGCCGAUCAGACCGUCUGCUCCUGUAAUAAACUCGGCAGUUUUGCUGUGCUGACGGUUCUCUGUGACACUGGGGUCUGUAGGCCUACUCUUAACUUUUGUCAGCUUGACAGCAAACCUUGAGCUAAAUGAACAUCUCUUUUCCACCCUCAAAUACUGAGGUGCCCUUAAACAAAGACAUCUAACCCCCAGUUUUAAAUGGCUACUGAACCACUGCUGUGUGUGAAUGGGAUAAAUGCAGAAGACAAACUCAGAGUAUUGGAGGAUAUAAGGAUCUUCAAAUUCAAACUGUGUGUGUUUGUGCAUUUCAAGGCUUUUAUUGUCACAGUUGUUGUGAAGUAAUUUUCCAUUGCUAUUAAUAACAUUUGUCGGAUUUGUGUUUGUCAUGUGAAGCCUGAGCAUUGAAACAUAUGCAACUAAAAUUAUUCAAUAAACUUUUAAUCAACAUUA
Molecule: RNA transcript, 1242 nt
Organism: Carassius gibelio (silver crucian carp)
Lineage: Eukaryota; Metazoa; Chordata; Actinopteri; Cypriniformes; Cyprinidae
Gene name: adhesion G protein-coupled receptor E3
Exons: 7
Source: RefSeq, a predicted model, not a curated record